Molecule: long non-coding RNA, 403 nt
Filed under: Eucalyptus grandis
Lineage: Eukaryota; Viridiplantae; Streptophyta; Magnoliopsida; Myrtales; Myrtaceae
Description: long non-coding RNA (EGRA_LNC007032)
Source: RNAcentral
UUGCUUUUAUCAUGACACAUCGUGGUUCUCAAUAUCCUUCGACUCUGACUUAUAUGAGGUCCCGAGUUGACACAUAUCUAUCGACUGGCAGGUAAGCUUUUUUGUCUUGAUUUCGACCAGUUCAAUUUGUUGUGCGGCUUCAUCUCACUUAAUUCAUCUUGUAUAGUGUAUCCAAUACAUCCCUAGUUGAAGCGUGCACACACAUAAUCCAUAUGCACGAUCAAUGCCACUUGACCAUUGCCCACGUAAACAAAGUCAUUAUUGCGAGUACCAGGUUGUGCACUGGGGCUUCUUUACUUGUUAUAUCACGUGACUCUUACAUAGAGUCUGCACUGGAAUAGGGCAAUCAAGCUUCCUUCUACUUGUGAACUCCUACUCUUUAUGAACUCUAAUCUUGUGCAAC